Molecule: long non-coding RNA, 622 nt
Filed under: Phoenix dactylifera (date palm)
Lineage: Eukaryota; Viridiplantae; Streptophyta; Magnoliopsida; Arecales; Arecaceae
Description: long non-coding RNA (PDAC_LNC011297)
Source: RNAcentral
AUAUUAUCUUAAUCAGUAUUAUAGCUAAUUUUUAUUAAUAAAAUUAAUUAAUUAAUGUUUUAUUUGUGUUUGAGUGAAAUUAAUCCAAGAGACCCAGUAACUCUGGAUUUGAGCCCAAUGCCUGGCAGCCCAAGCUCAAUAAAUUUUCCAAACAUCCACAGCAUGGGGGCUUUGAAAUUUUCCAAUUUCCCAACCGACCGUGGACCUCCAUGCACAUGCAAACGAGCUCUUCAAUUCCAAGCAUCAUGGCAUCUCAUCCAAGGGACCUAAACCAAAUCCAAGGGACCUAAAUCAAACCCAAGGGACCUAAGCUAAACCAGCUCUUCAAUUCCAAGCGGCAUCUCAUCAGCAUCCUUCCGUUUCCCCUGUUUCUUCCCAGCUCAUCCAAGCGUGGAGCGUGCGACGGAAGAGGAGGAGGCCAGCAGCCAUCGGGAGGAGAAGAGUCCCAAGCCGAGUCCUCCACUUCUUUUCCAUGAGUCGUCUUAACUUCCCAAACUUCUGCAACGUCCCAGCAUUCAUCAGAGUCCUUCCGUCUCCCCCGUUUCUUCCCAGCUCAUCCACAAAUCCAACAUCAAUGACUGCAGCUCAAACUUCUUCAAUGUUCAACCUCCCAACGCCGAAG